Molecule: ribosomal RNA, 468 nt
Filed under: uncultured bacterium
Lineage: Bacteria
Description: partial 16S ribosomal RNA
Rfam family: Bacterial small subunit ribosomal RNA
Source: RNAcentral
GACGAACGCUGGCGGCGUGCUUAACACAUGCAAGUCGAACGGAAAGGCCCUGCUUUUGUGGGGUGCUCGAGUGGCGAACGGGUGAGUAACACGUGAGUAACCUGCCCUUGACUUUGGGAUAACUUCAGGAAACUGGGGCUAAUACCGGAUAGGAGCUCCUGCUGCAUGGUGGGGGUUGGAAAGUUUCGGCGGUUGGGGAUGGACUCGCGGCUUAUCAGCUUGUUGGUGGGGUAGUGGCUUACCAAGGCUUUGACGGGUAGCCGGCCUGAGAGGGUGACCGGCCACAUUGGGACUGAGAUACGGCCCAGACUCCUACGGGAGGCAGCAGUGGGGAAUAUUGCACAAUGGGCGGAAGCCCGAUGCAGCAACGCCGCGUGCGGGAUGACGGCCUUCGGGUUGUAAACCGCUUUCGCCUGUGACGAAGCGUGAGUUACGGUAAUGGGUAAAGAAGCACCGGCUAACUACGUG